Acinonyx jubatus (cheetah) is the source of this 4057-nucleotide long non-coding RNA. RefSeq lists it as uncharacterized. The record is from RefSeq and is a predicted model, not a curated record. The transcript is spliced from 3 exons. Lineage: Eukaryota; Metazoa; Chordata; Mammalia; Carnivora; Felidae.
UGUGUGUGUGUGUGUAUGUGGUGGGGGUAGAGAAUUGCUAUUUCUUUCAAACUUUGAUUUUCUGAGAGUUAAGGAUUUCAGAUAGCACAGAUUCUAAAUAUAUAUGGAGAAAGUGACAAAAUUUUGAAAUGGUUUUGGGAAACAAAUGUCUGUGGUCAUAAAAAUCAUUUAUUUGUAUAUUUAUAUGUUGGAUGUUGGGCAUCCCUUUGGUGCAAUGAUGAAUACAGAUGAAGUGGAUGAUAUAUUUAUAAAUUCUAGAACAAAUUAUUAAAAACAAGGACUAUUACUAAAAGCAAGUUACUAUUACUAGUAACAAAUGAUGGUCCUCAAUGUUCUCAUCUGUAUGUUGGGUUGGUGGGUAUGUAAUAUUAAAAUGUUUGCCCUCAAGGUGUCUGGGUGGCUCCGUUGGUUGAGCGUCCAACUUUGGCUGAGGUCAUGAUCUUGCAGUUCAUGAGUUCGAGCCCCACAUUGGGCUCCGUGCUGACAACUCAGAGCCUGGAGCCUGCUUUGGAUUCUGUGUCUACCUCUCUCUCUGCCUCUCCCCGACUUGUGCUCUCUCUCUCUGUCUCUCUCUCUCAAAGUUAACUAAACAUUUAAAAACAUUUUAAUGAUAAAAUAAAAUAUUUGACGUCUGUGGUCAAAUGGUUGUUUAUCAAAGUUUCCCUGAAGCACAAUUUUCUCAGCUUCGAGAAAUAGAGGGGUGUAACAAGUGAAUUCGGUUCGAUUGUCUGGUUUUGGUUGAUUUCAAAUGUGCUUGUAUUGAAUGCUAACCCUUCUUCAAUUCAGCAACUAGCUUAUAUAUGAAAAUUAAACGUUUGGGGGGGAAUUUCUUCUAUUCAUUUUUAAACUUGUAGCUCAGCACUUAUUUGUAUUAAAUUUUCUUUCCCUCCUUCACUCACUUGCAGUAGAUUAAAGUGUUGAUCUUUUCUUUUUGAAAUCAUAGUUUGGUAAGUGGAUGUCUUUGCAAAUAGUAACUUAAUUUUCUCUCUGGGAGUUUGCAGUUUCCAACCUGCGGAGACAAACACAGAAACACCGUGCCACACAAGCAUUCUGAUAUGAAAUUUGGAAAACUGGGAUUGUUGAAAGAGCUAGGAAGCACAGAUUGCACUCCCUUUGGACAAAGUUCCAACGGAUGAAGAAUUGUUUUCUCACUGGAGUGGGAGCAGGACUGAUGACCUCACUGACCAUCUCCAAGCUGCUUUUGGGGGCAGAUGCCAUCAGGAGGGACUCUGGCUUGUGGAAAUACUAUGUUCUCUUCCUGCCUUCGGGUGACUGUACAAACUUAAAAAAAAAAAAAAAAAAAAAAAAAAAAAAAAAAGCCCAGGCUGCAGCUCCACACAGGGUGUCUAGCCAAAAUGCAAAGUUUUACCACAGCACACAAGUAGACAGUGUUUUUCAAGUGCGGGAACCGAGUGAGGUGCCUUUCAGCACCUUUGCCGGCACCUUCUUUAAAAAUGAUUUAAAUUGGAGGCAAUAGCAUCGAACGCUGAACAUCUGACAUUCAGACAAGACUUAACGAAUCAUACACUUUAACAUCAGUCUCCUCCAGCCACUUCACUUGGAGUCCAUGGUGGUUGUUUCUCCCCCCCCCACAAAAACAUUUGUUCUGCAGACCAUUUGCUGGUUAGAGUGUCCUGGGCAACUCUUCAUUCAUGGCAGGGAGAGCUGGUCCAAGAGAGACUGCAAACCUGAGCUCCUCCCGUGUCCAGUCUCUCCAGCUCUGGACUUCAGACUCAAGAGACAACAGUGGUCCUUCGGAACCCGACUUAGAACCACCUCGGUCUCUCCCCAGCGCGGUCUACUGCAGAGUAUUUAAGCUGCGCGACCAAAUGUCCCCAACCUACAACAGCCAGUGCUGUCAUUUGACUGAUUUGAAUCAAACUAACAAAAAAGCUAUGACUCUGUGGAUCGGAAAAUACCAGUGUUAGGGGGAAAAGACAACAAUUCUGAUAUUCAGGUUGGAGCAAAUCAUUAUCUUCAGUGUUGUUAUUUAAUCCUCUCCCCGUGGGGGUGACAGUAUGUCUCAUAGCUUGCCUGACAACUGCUAAGGACACAGGCAGCGUGGUCAAGGCUGCCCAGCUUCACCAAGGACCAUACGCUAUUGUCUCACACACCUUUUGGACGGGCUACCAAUUCAAUGCCAUUGGCAGAGAAAGUGGGAAGGGGGGGCAUUCCCUCGGGGCUGCAACGUAUGCAAACAAUUUAAUCUUCCAAUCCAAUCCUUAAUGUAAAUGUUUAAUAUAAACCUGAUGUUAACACGAUGUGCAUGAAUUUACUGGCCGGCAAAGCUGGGAUUUACAUCAUUCUGAAAAUCAGAUGUUCUUUGCAGCAGGGAUUGGGAAAACCUUUAAAUAUGGCAAGGUUUUCCCUCUGAAUGGCAGGUGCAUCCCUAACGCGCACAGGCCCAGGGCUCCCCCGGGGGACCGGGUGUUCACAGAUGCCAGAUCCCGUGUGCAAGUUAAAAGAUCCUCAGCUGUUGCUUUGUAUACCUCCCUGUGAAUGGCAGGUUACAUUCUAGACCGGUCACUGGCAAACUAAGGUCUAGGGGCCAAAUCAGGCCCACAGAUUGUUUGUCUUUUUAACAACUUUCAUGAAAUAUAAUUGAUAUACAAGAAAUAGCACAUAUGUAAUGUAUACAAUUUGGUGAGUUUGGACAUAAGCACACACCUGCGAAACUGUCACUACAAUCAAAGUGAUAGACGCAUCCAUCACCCCCAAAAGUUUCCUUGUGUCCCAUUGGGUUUUUUUUUUGUUGUUUUGGUUUUGUUCUGUUUCGUUUUGUUUUUGUACUUUGGGGUGAAGAACACUUAAUGUGAGAUCUACCCUCUUAACACAUUUUUAGGGGAAGGCAUUUAAUGGAAAUAAGUUUUGGUUAUGGAAGAAGAGUACCUUCUAGGGAUCUUCUGUAGAACACAGUGUCUGUCAUUAACAAUACUGAAUUGCCCACUGCCUGUUUUUGCAUGGUACACAAGCUAAGAAAGGGUUAAAGGGUUGAAAAGAAUAGAGAAAAGGGAAGGGGUACCUGGGUGGCUCCAUCUGUUAAGCUUUUGACUUCGGCUCAGGUCAUGAUCUCACAGUUUGUGGGUUCAAGCCCCAGGUCGGGCUCUGUGCUGGCAGCUCAGAGCCUGGAGACUGCUUGGGAUUCGGAUUUCGUGUCUCCCUUUCUCUCUACCCCUCCCCACUCAUGUUCUAUCUCUCUCUCAAAAAUAAAUAAGCAUUUAAAAAAAUUUUUAAACAAAGGGAAAUAGCAUUUUAUGACGUGAAAAAUCUAUGAAAUUCAAACUCUGGUCUCCAUGAAGUUUCAUCGGAACACAGCCAUGCUCGUUCAAUUAUGUGGGGUCUGUGGCUGUCUUUUCAACAUAGUCGUAGAGUUGCGUAGUUGUGGUGGUGACUCUAUGGCACAGAGAGGCUAAAAUAUGUACUCUUUGGCUCUUCGUGGAAGAAGUUUGCGGUCCCCUGCUCAAUGCAGUCUGCAUAGUGAUAAUGACAAUGGUGGCUAGCAAUUAUUGAUGGCUUCUUUACAUUGUGCCCACUGGAUGCAUACUGCCUGCCCCUUCAGCACACGGUGUGCAGUAUGUUAAUUUCCACAUAAACAAUUAUAUUUGCUAAGUGUUUGUGGGUUUGUCAUCCUUAUGGACCUUACCUUUGUUUACUUCUACGCCUCCAGAUUUGGACUUUUCAAAAUGUUAACAAUUAUCAGGAAGAAAUAAAAAUAGUAAUAGUUUUGUUUUUUUGUUUUUUUUUUUUUUUUACUCCUUCAAAUUUUGCCAUUGCUCCAGAUAUUUGAUGCUGGGUAAAUUAGGUAUUAAACAAAACUGGCUACUCAUCAGUAUGACCAGGGGAAACUUAGAAGAUGCCUGUACUUCAUGAAGCAGGGUCUGAGGAUGGAACCCAGAACUUUUGUUUGUUUGGUUUUCAUUUUUAGGCUUUACCAGUGAUGCUUAGAUUCAGCCUGAUUUGGGAAAAAACGGCCAAGAUUAUUAUUUUAUUGUACACCCUUCAGAAGGAUAAAGCCUGUAUUGUGAAUACCACCUGAUUGGGAACUCUUUGAGAGUAA